Molecule: ribosomal RNA, 330 nt
Filed under: uncultured bacterium
Lineage: Bacteria
Description: bacterial SSU rRNA
Rfam family: Bacterial small subunit ribosomal RNA
Source: RNAcentral
UCCGUAGGCGGUGUGGCAAGUCGGAAGUGAAAUCUCUGGGCUUAACUCAGAGGCUGCUUCCGAAACUGCCGUGCUAGAGUGCGAGAGAGGCAAGUGGAAUUGCGGGUGUAGCGGUGAAAUGCGUAGAUAUCCGCAGGAACAUCCGAGGCGAAAGCGGCUUGCUGGAUCGCAACUGACGCUGAGGGACGAAAGCUAGGGGAGCAAACAGGAUUAGAUACCCUGGUAGUCCUAGCCCUAAACCAUCAGGACUUGGGGUUUGCCCUGUACGGGGCAAGUCCCGUAGCUAACGCGUUAAGUCCUGUGCCUGGGGAGUACGGUCGCAAGGCUGAA